This 838-nucleotide long non-coding RNA is filed under the name Homo sapiens (human). RNAcentral describes it as "non-protein coding lnc-RFPL4B-1:9". Lineage: Eukaryota; Metazoa; Chordata; Mammalia; Primates; Hominidae. The record is from RNAcentral.
UCCCCUUUGGAGAUCACUGGAAACAGCUUCUGGACCACAAAUGGGGUGAACUACUGUAUCGAGAAAGGAGAGAGUAAGACUUGAGAGCUAUCUUUUUAGCUCAGGGUGCAGUCUGUACUCUAAAACAAGUGUGGAAGUGGAGCACUCUACAUAUCCUAAGUGCCAAAAAUAUUCCUCUUCAUGAAAUUCGCCAGAUCUGCAAAACACAGCUCCUUUUGAAGAGAAGAGCCAGGGAACUCCAUUAGCAGGCUUUGAUGGCAUUAAUAAUUCAGAGAGAUGCCCUCUAUCUUCUUUAAGAUAGACAGAAGGGUCCCUUUUAAUGUAUAACCAGGCAGAAAAGAGGAGAGGACACGGGUGGGAGAGAAGAGGAGGUUGCAAGCCAGCACCUGCCCCACACCAGGGGAUGGAAGCUAAUUGUGAAAAGCUGCCCCACUACAGCUGCUGCCUCUUGAAAAAUGCAAACUGUGUUUUGAGCAAACAUAUCAUCCACUUGCAGUAUAAAAACGCUGGUGUCUCUCCGCGGAAACUCCGAGAGGAGCAGAGGUCUGUAGAGGUAGAGACGUAGGCUUCGGAUCUUUUAGAAUUCUGCUGGAAGUCUCCAAGUCAAGAGGAUCUACAAAGAAAUACUGAGUGGAGACUAUACUGAGAUUCUGUUAAAGACCCACUUGAAUUCAGCCCCCAUUAGGAGAAACUUUGGCCGGAGCAGCCAACACAUCACCUGGAAGUCUUCAGACUAGACUAUUGAAGAGUGGAUUGUGUACUGAGGGCUCCCAAGUGCUUCCAGAAGCCAAUAAAGGAUCACUUCAGUUUACUUCACGGCUAAGGAGUAACCCUUAAG